AUACGUAGGGAGCGAGCGUUGUCCGGAUUUACUGGGUGUAAAGGGUGCGUAGGCGACUCUGCAAGUCAGGUGUGAAAACUAUGGGCUUAACCCAUAGACUGCAUUUGAAACUGUGGAGCUUGAGUGAAGUAGAGGCAGGCGGGAUUCCCGGGGUAGCGGUGAAAUGCGUAGAGAUCGGGAGGAACGCCAGUGGCGAAGGCGGCCUGCUGGGCUUUAACUGACGCUGAGGCACGAAAGCAUGGGUAGCAAACAGGAUUAGAUACCCUGGUAGUCCAUGCCGUAAACGAUGAUUACUAGGUGUGGGGGGUCUGACCCCUUCCGUGCCGGAGUUAACACAAUAAGUAAUCCACCUGGGAAGUACGACCGCAAGGUUGA
Molecule: ribosomal RNA, 375 nt
Filed under: uncultured bacterium
Lineage: Bacteria
Description: bacterial SSU rRNA
Rfam family: Bacterial small subunit ribosomal RNA
Source: RNAcentral